AGCCUACGGGUUCUUUGGCAUAGAUCCGGCAGUUUACCAGCGAAUCUUUGGGCCAGUAUGUAAAGAGGUUCAGAGAAGCAGUCGGUCAGGUGUUCGAUCUUAAUGAUCCCCAGGCUGUAGGUUUGUUCCAGAAUGGAUUGGAUCUGGUAAAGUCUGAAAAGUUGGUGAAGAAGUUGAUGUUCAACCAUCCGAAGAGCUUGGCCGAAGCCUUUGACAA
RNAcentral lists this long non-coding RNA (217 nucleotides) under Panax ginseng (ginseng). RNAcentral's name for it is "long non-coding RNA (PGIN_LNC001015)". The record is from RNAcentral. Lineage: Eukaryota; Viridiplantae; Streptophyta; Magnoliopsida; Apiales; Araliaceae.